UACGUAGGGUGCGAGCGUUAAUCGGAAUUACUGGGCGUAAAGCGCGCGCAGGCGGCUAUCCAAGUCAGUGGUGAAAGCCCGGAGCUCAACUCCGGAAUUGCCAUUGAAACUGUUUAGCUUGAGUACGAGAGAGGUGAGUGGAAUUCCCAGUGUAGAGGUGAAAUUCGUAGAUAUUGGGAAGAACACCGGUGGCGAAGGCGGCUCACUGGCUCGUUACUGACGCUCAGGCGCGACAGCGUGGGGAUCAAACAGG
This 253-nucleotide ribosomal RNA is filed under the name uncultured bacterium. RNAcentral's name for it is "partial 16S ribosomal RNA". It matches the Rfam family "Bacterial small subunit ribosomal RNA", at positions 524 to 776 of the family's 1533-position model. The record is from RNAcentral.